RNAcentral lists this transfer RNA (73 nucleotides) under Bos taurus (domestic cattle). It matches the Rfam family "tRNA". Rfam says of the family: Transfer RNA (tRNA) molecules are approximately 80 nucleotides in length. Their secondary structure includes four short double-helical elements and three loops (D, anti-codon, and T loops). RNAcentral also lists the same sequence under 5 other names. The record is from Rfam by way of RNAcentral. Lineage: Eukaryota; Metazoa; Chordata; Mammalia; Artiodactyla; Bovidae.
UCCCUGGUGGUCUAGUGGUUAAGACUCUGCACUCCCAAGGCAGGGGGCCUGGGUUUGAUCCCUGGUCAGGUAC